NNNCGACCAUAGCGUUUUGGACCCACCUGAUUCCAUCCCGAACUCAGAAGUGAAACGAAGUAGCGCCGAUGGUAGUGUAAGCGUUGAUUAUAAGAUUUGUUUGAGGA
This 107-nucleotide ribosomal RNA is filed under the name Vibrio cholerae. Lineage: Bacteria; Pseudomonadati; Pseudomonadota; Gammaproteobacteria; Vibrionales; Vibrionaceae. The record is from RNAcentral.